GAUGAACGCUGGCGGCGUGCCUAAUACAUGCAAGUCGAGCGAACAGACGAGGAGCUUGCUCCUCUGACGUUAGCGGCGGACGGGUGAGUAACACGUGUAUAACCUCCCUAUAAGACUGGUAUCACUUCGGGACACCGGAGCUAAUACCGUAUAAUCUAUUGAACCGCAUGGUUCAAUAGUGAAAGACGGUUUUGCUGUCACUUAUAGAUGGAUCCGCGCCGCAUUAGCUAGUUGGUAAGGUAACGGCUUACCAAGGCAACGAUGCGUAGCCGACCUGAGAGGGUGAUCGGCCACACUGGAACUGAGACACGGUCCAGAGUCCUACGGGAGGCAGCAGUAGGGAAUCGUCCGCAAUGGGCGAAAGCUUGACGGAGCGACGCCGCGUGAGUGAUGAAGGUCUUCGGAUCGUAAAACUCUGUUAUUAGGGAAGAACAAAUGUGUAAGUAACUAUGCACGUAUUGACGGUACCUAAUCAGAAAGCCACGGCUAACUACGUG
Molecule: ribosomal RNA, 497 nt
Filed under: uncultured bacterium
Lineage: Bacteria
Description: partial 16S ribosomal RNA
Rfam family: Bacterial small subunit ribosomal RNA
Source: RNAcentral